This 497-nucleotide ribosomal RNA is filed under the name uncultured bacterium. RNAcentral describes it as "partial 16S ribosomal RNA". It matches the Rfam family "Bacterial small subunit ribosomal RNA", at positions 28 to 507 of the family's 1533-position model. The record is from RNAcentral.
GAUGAACGCUGGCGGCGUGCCUAAUACAUGCAAGUCGAGCGAACAGACGAGGAGCUUGCUCCUCUGACGUUAGCGGCGGACGGGUGAGUAACACGUGGAUAACCUACCUAUAAGACUGGGAUAACUUCGGGAAACCGGAGCCAAUACCGGAUAAUAUAUUGAACCGCAUGGUUCAAUAGUGAAAGACGGUUUUGCUGUCACUUAUAGAUGGAUCCGCGCCGCAUUAGCUAGUUGGUAAGGUAACGGCUUACCAAGGCAACGAUGCGUAGCCGACCUGAGAGGGUGAUCGGCCACACUGGAACUGAGACACGGUCCAGACUCCUACGGGAGGCAGCAGUAGGGAAUCUUCCGCAAAGGGCGAAAGCUUGACGGAGCAACGCCGCGUGAGUGAUGAAGGUCUUCGGAUCGUAAAACUCUGUUAUUAGGGAAGAACAAAUGUGUAAGUAACUAUGCACGUCUUGACGGUACCUAAUCAGAAAGCCACGGCUAACUACGUG